RNAcentral lists this ribosomal RNA (433 nucleotides) under uncultured bacterium. RNAcentral describes it as "partial 16S ribosomal RNA". It matches the Rfam family "Bacterial small subunit ribosomal RNA", at positions 29 to 507 of the family's 1533-position model. The record is from RNAcentral.
AACGAACGCUGGCGGCAUGCCUAACACAUGCAAGUGGAACGAGACCUUCGGGUCUAGUGGCGCACGGGUGCGUAACGCGUGGGAACCUGCCCUUAGGUUCGGAAUAACUCCCCGAAAGGGGUGCUAAUACCGGAUAAUGUCUUCGGACCAAAGAUUUAUCGCCUUUGGAUGGGCCCGCGUUGGAUUAGCUAGUUGGUAGGGUAAAAGCCUACCAAGGCGACGAUCCAUAGCUGGUCUGAGAGGAUGAUCAGCCACACUGGGACUGAGACACGGCCCAGACUCCUACGGGAGGCAGCAGUGGGGAAUAUUGGACAAUGGGCGAAAGCCUGAUCCAGCAAUGCCGCGUGAGUGAUGAAGGCCUUAGGGUUGUAAAGCUCUUUUACCCGGGAUGAUAAUGACAGUACCGGGAGAAUAAGCGCCGGCUAACUCCGUG